This 564-nucleotide long non-coding RNA is filed under the name Hordeum vulgare. Its description in RNAcentral is "long non-coding RNA (HVUL_LNC016188)". The record is from RNAcentral. Lineage: Eukaryota; Viridiplantae; Streptophyta; Magnoliopsida; Poales; Poaceae.
GUCUUGUGGAUAGCUAUUUUGUGAUGUUGUGUAUGUGUUGAGGUGCACUAUGAUUUCAUGUGGUGUUAGUACUAAAUGUAGUGGGCUUGUCAUGUUAGCAACCUCUCUCUCUCUUUUAUUUUCCAAGCCAAUAUUCACUUGUCCCAACCUUGAUCCAAAAAUGCCCAUGUAUUAGUGUAUUUUGUGAAGGAUGCCAAUAUGUGUUUUUGCUGUUUUGUAUCUUAGUUUUAAGGGUGCAAAUAAAUCCAAAACAGUAAAUAAAUUGCUGUUUUGCAUUUCUUCAAAUUGCUCCAAAUAAUUAUUUUCUAUUUUAUUCAAAUAGGUCAUAAUUCCUUAUGACCAGGGGCAUUUUGUUUUGUUUUUAACCCCAACAGUAUUGCCAUUUGUUUUAAAUCCUUUCUAUGUUUGUUUAAAUAAAUAAAACCCCCCUCAGGGCCCCCUCCUCUAUCUGUCGCCAGUGGCACCGCUUCCGCAUGGCCUAGAUCAAUAGUCCCCUCGCUCACGCGCGCGGUGCUUCUUCCUCCUCCCUUUCCAGCGAGGCAGGCGGCCCCACCAGUCAUCCUC